Potamilus streckersoni is the source of this 73-nucleotide non-coding RNA. Lineage: Eukaryota; Metazoa; Mollusca; Bivalvia; Unionida; Unionidae. The record is from the annotation of a GenBank genome assembly.
UAUCCGGUGGCCUAGUGGUUAGAGCGUCCGCCUCGGAUGUGGGAUGUCAUGGGUUUAAUCCCAGGUCGAGUCA